UACGUAGGGGGCAAGCGUUAUCCGGAUUCACUGGGCGUAAAGGGAGCGCAGGCGGCACGGCAAGUCUGGCGUGAAAACCCGGGGCUCAACCCCGGGACUGCAUUGGAAACUGCCGGGCUGGAGUGUCGGAGGGGUAAGCGGAAUUCCUAGUGUAGCGGUGAAAUGCGUAGAUAUUAGGAGGAACACCAGUGGCGAAGGCGGCUUACUGGACGAUGACUGACGCUGAGGCUCGAAAGCGUGGGGAGCAAACAGG
This 253-nucleotide ribosomal RNA is filed under the name uncultured bacterium. RNAcentral describes it as "partial 16S ribosomal RNA". It matches the Rfam family "Bacterial small subunit ribosomal RNA", at positions 524 to 776 of the family's 1533-position model. The record is from RNAcentral.